This 440-nucleotide ribosomal RNA is filed under the name uncultured bacterium. RNAcentral describes it as "partial 16S ribosomal RNA". It matches the Rfam family "Bacterial small subunit ribosomal RNA", at positions 338 to 795 of the family's 1533-position model. The record is from RNAcentral.
CCUACGAGUGGCAGCAGUAGGGAAUAUUGCUCAAUGGGCGAAACCCUGAAGCAGCCAAGCCGCGUGCGGGAUGAAGGUUUUAGGAUUGUAAACUCCUUUUGUUAGAGGAGAUUAUGACGGUAUCUAACGAAUAAGCACCGUCUAACUCCGUGCCAGCAGCCGCAGUAAUACGGAGGGUGCAAGCGUUACUCGGAAUCACUGGGCGUAAAGAGUGCGUAGGCGGGGUAAUAAGUCCGAUUUGAAAUCCUGUAGCGUAACUACAGAACUGCAUUUGAAACUUGUACUCUGGAGUGUGGGAGAGGUAGGUGGAAUUCGUGGUGUAGGGGUAAAAUCCGUAGAGAUCAAGAGGAAUACUCAUUGCGAAGGCGACCUGCUGGAACAUUACUGACGCUGAUGCACGAAAGCGUGGGGAGCAAACAGGAUUAGAUACCCGAGUAGUC